GGGGAAUAUUGCACAAUGGAGGAAACUCUGAUGCAGCAACGCCGCGUGAGUGAUGAAGGUCUUCGGAUUGUAAAGCUCUGUCAUCUGGGACGAUAAUGACGGUACCAGAUGAGGAAGCCACGGCUAACUACGUGCCAGCAGCCGCGGUAAUACGUAGGUAGCAAGCGUUGUCCGGAUUUACUGGGCGUAAAGGAUGUGUAGGCGGAUAUUUAAGUGAGAUGUGAAAGACCCGGGCUUAACUUGGGCAGUGCAUUUCAAACUGGAUGUCUGGAGUGCAGGAGAGGAGAACGGAAUUCCUAGUGUAGCGGUGAAAUGCGUAGAGAUUAGGAAGAACACCAGUGGCGAAGGCGGUUCUCUGGACUGUAACUGACGCUGAGGCAUGAAAGCGUGGGGAGCAAAC
RNAcentral lists this ribosomal RNA (400 nucleotides) under uncultured bacterium. Its description in RNAcentral is "bacterial SSU rRNA". It matches the Rfam family "Bacterial small subunit ribosomal RNA", at positions 356 to 773 of the family's 1533-position model. The record is from RNAcentral.